This is a long non-coding RNA of Equus caballus (horse), 2170 nucleotides long. Lineage: Eukaryota; Metazoa; Chordata; Mammalia; Perissodactyla; Equidae. The record is from Ensembl.
CUGAUUGACACUCCCCCGUUGCCUUCUUAGCAGCACUGCCAACACAGCUGCCCUCUACUCUGCACAGGCCAACCUCCUACCGUGGAAACGCAGGGAGUCAAGCCUCUGCUCAGACCUUCGCCUCCCUUCAGUGCUCCUGCACAUUCAGCCCUUCUUUGCCCAGAUAGUAUUAGCCAAACAGAAGCCCAGUAGCCAAAAGCUGUCUUUAAGCAAGUGUUUUCUUUGGCCUCUUGCACAUCAAAGGGAACAUAACAGUGACAUGAUAAUAAGCAACAAUGAUCCUCAUUGUUUCAAAGAGACAACAUCAGUGCCAGCAGUGCCAGUGAGACCCUGGAGUGUCCGUUGCUUUCUGUGCGAAUGGAAAAUGCAGGUCAGCUACCUCUUCAGGUAUAAAGAGUGCUCAUGACGCUUAGAAAACUGGAAAUCACUUUAUAACUGCCAUUGACUGUUAUUGUCCCUAAGAGCUUCGAGAUCACCACAACACGGCUCCCAAUGUGCUCUUGAUAUAUAUGAGGGGGUACUCAUGGUGCAAUGAAAUUAAACAGGUAUUUAACGGCAACCCCGACCCAGAUCCCUGGACAGAAAAUAAACCCACUACUCAGCUCCUCAGGGGCACAGAGGAUGGGUCUCACCCUGGGAUUUGGAGGGCCAGGAAUGAAAUGGCCUGGGGUCAGGGUCGAAGUCCCCUCAGCUCUGCCCCGGAGGGAAGGGCAGAUGCUGGGCAGGUCUCACGAAGGAGCCUCAUGGAUCUGCCUCUUUUUUUUUUUUCUCCACUUCCUCCUAAGGGAGAAAGUUCUUUUCCUUCCCGCCACUCUGGGCCGAGCGGAAGUUGAAAAGGGCUCCUUGUUCCUAAAGUUUUAUAUAGCUCAGUAAAUGACUGCUGGGUCUCAGCCUCAGGUCUGGAACUGCCUUCGCAGCCACACCUGGACAGUGGCCCAUUUAGCAGAAAAGCCAGGGGCGAUCUCCUGGGGGAGCUUUGUGCUUGUAUUAUAAACUGAAAUAGCCCCCCAGGUCUCUGGGAAGGAGAGGACCUCGCUGCAGAAACAUUUUUCCGGAAAGAGCAGCCGCGUUCAGUUGCCUGAAUAACGUGGGGUCCAGCGCCACCUAGUGCCCGCUGUGGUGCUUGGUGUGCGUCCUGAGCUCUGGAUGGGGCGUUUCGGAAAGUGGCUGUAACCAGGACAGGGGCUACCAUUCUCUGCGUGCAGGGCUGUCCUCAUGCCCACGACAAGGGUCUGUGAUUUUGGUGGGAGAAGCUGAGGAGCUACAAUCCUAAUGCGUCACAGAUGGAAGUGUUGGAGGAUUCCUGCACCAUGAGGGGGUAACCAGCUAUUGCAGAGGCAGCUACAGUAUCCAGGAGGUUCUGGAGGAGAUGAACACCCUUCUAGCUCAGAGGACACUUCCUGCUCUGGACCAGUGUCUGUGACCCCAAGGCUUGACUGGACCCUUGCAGUAAACACCCUCCUUCCUCACAGCCUCUGCCCGGGGCCCCACCCCAGCACAAAUGCUUCCGCAGCCUACACUCCUCCACACUUGGAAACCACCCCAGAGGAAUAAUGAGAGCAAGGAGCAGGGAUUUGGCAAAUGUUCAGAAUGCCAGGAGAAUCAUGGAUUUGUCUCUGACUCCAUGGGCCUUGGCCUCACCCAGUGGAAAACUGGGAAAAUUCCCUACUGGCUCCUCCCCACCUCCCCCAACAACCAUGCUUCACCAAACAGACGCACCUCCAGAGGAAGGUUAAGUAAGGUCACUCUCUGGAUUCCUCUGAAAUAAAAUUGUUGCUUAAAAAUACAGAUUCAAAAAUAAAGUUUAAAUGGGGUAACACACUGCAGUAAGAUCCGAUCCUGACUUCCACAAAUGGGGUAGAUGUUCAGGCUGCUGGGGGCUCGUGGGAGGUGGUUCCGGGUAAUGCAAGGAGCACAGGAUUAAGAGACCUGGACUUAAAUCCUCAGUCUGUCACCCCCCAGCUGAGUGACUUUGGGCAAGUCGCUUAAUCUCUCUGAGCCUCAUUUUCCUCAUUUGUAGAAUGAAGGCAAUUCUUUUCUUACCUAUAAGGUUAUAGAUGAACAAGUGCUUUGUAAAGCCCUGCAGGGCGGGAGGUGCCAUGUGAAGGGAGAGCUGGCGCUAGCAGGAUUUAGGUUGGAGAUUUUUAUUACUUUGCCCUUUCCCUACCCA